UCGCAUGUUGACACUUCUUUUUUGUAGGUGGUGAAGGGUGUGUGAGACUGAUGUGUUUUUGUAGAUUCGUUGGUGCAUAUUGGUUUGAGAAAUUAUUAACCCAAUCAAAAUUGUGAACCAGGUAUAUAAACAAUGGGCAAUAGAGCUUUAGAUGGAGUCCCCGACAUCACCCUCUCCCUAGGGGGACACGGGCAGCAACCUCACUGCCCCACCGAACAACCGUUCAAUGUCUUCUCCCUCUCGCCGUCGCGAGCAAAGCCCGUGCGGAGCCGACAACAACAUGAUAUGUUGACUGCUUCGUGUUGUGCGCGCUUUGCGGGCUGGUGAUCUCGCAACGACAAGUGGUUUGCUGUAUGGAUGGCUGGUGUUGUCGGUCCCGAUGGUGUUGGCGACAGCUGGAAUAGCCACGAUGUUGUGUUGGCGGCGGUGGUUGCGGCUCGGUGCUUGGAGGUUGUCUAGAUNNNNNNNNNNCGACAGCUGGAAUAGCCACGAUGGUGUGUUGGCGGCGGUGGUUGCGGCUCGGUGCUUGGAGGUUGUCUAGAUCGGGUGGAAUUUUGUGGUUUGCCUUAUUUUAUUUUCUCUAGAUUUGUUUGAAAUUUAGGAUUGCAUUUUUACACCAUUGUAGAUACGUGUUGUAUCUCUUUUUUUAGGGGAAGAUACACGUUGUAUCUAAAUGUGCACAAAGUUUCACAAACAAAAUUCAUGAAGAUACGAUCUG
This 718-nucleotide long non-coding RNA is filed under the name Hordeum vulgare. Its description in RNAcentral is "long non-coding RNA (HVUL_LNC014897)". The record is from RNAcentral. Lineage: Eukaryota; Viridiplantae; Streptophyta; Magnoliopsida; Poales; Poaceae.